UACAGAGGGUGCAAGCGUUAAUCGGAAUUACUGGGCGUAAAGAGUGCGUAGGCGGAUAAUUAAGUCAUAUGUGAAAGCCCCGGGCUUAACCUGGGAAUUGCAUCUGAUACUGGUAAUCUAGAGUAUGGUAGAGGAUAGUGGAAUUUCUGGUGUAGCGGUGAAAUGCGUAGAUAUCAGAAGGAACACCAGUGGCGAAGGCGGCAUCCUGGACCGACACUGACGCUGAGGAGCGAAGCCAGGGGAGCAAACGGG
Molecule: ribosomal RNA, 252 nt
Filed under: uncultured bacterium
Lineage: Bacteria
Description: partial 16S ribosomal RNA
Rfam family: Bacterial small subunit ribosomal RNA
Source: RNAcentral